Molecule: ribosomal RNA, 508 nt
Filed under: uncultured bacterium
Lineage: Bacteria
Description: partial 16S ribosomal RNA
Rfam family: Bacterial small subunit ribosomal RNA
Source: RNAcentral
GACGAACGCUGGCGGCGUGCCUAAUACAUGCAGGUCGAACGCUUCUUUCCUCCCGAGUGCUUGCACUCAAUUGGAAAGAGGAGUGGCGGACGGGUGAGUAACACGUGGGUAACCUACCCAUCAGAGGGGGAUAACACUUGGAAACAGGUGCUAAUACCGCAUAACAGUUUAUGCCGCAUGGCAUAAGAGUGAAAGGCGCUUUCGGGUGUCGUUGAUGGAUGGACCCGCGGUGCAUUAGCUAGUUGGUGAGGUAACGGCUCACCAAGGCCACGAUGCAUAGCCGACCUGAGAGGGUGAUCGGCCACACUGGGACUGAGACACGGCCCAGACUCCUACGGGAGGCAGCAGUAGGGAAUCUUCGGCAAUGGACGAAAGUCUGACCGAGCAACGCCGCGUGAGUGAAGAAGGUUUUCGGAUCGUAAAACUCUGUUGUUAGAGAAGAACAAGGACGUUAGUAACUGAACGUCCCCUGACGGUAUCUAACCAGAAAGCCACGGCUAACUACGUG